This 420-nucleotide ribosomal RNA is filed under the name uncultured eukaryote. Its description in RNAcentral is "SSU rRNA". It matches the Rfam family "Eukaryotic small subunit ribosomal RNA", at positions 592 to 1018 of the family's 1831-position model. The record is from RNAcentral.
CAAUAGUAUAUAUUAGUGUUGUUGCAGUUAAAGCGCUCGUAGUUGGAUUUUGGAACUGUUUAAAUGGUCCACCGGAAGGUGUGUACUCUUUGAAUUGUUCUUCCUUCUGAAGAACUUGCAUACUCUUUAUUGGGUGUGUAAGCAAUUCAGGACUUUUACUUUGAAAAAUUAGAGUGUUCAAAGCAGGCCUUACGCUUGAAUAUAUUAGCAUGGAAUAAUAAAAUAGGACUUUGGUUUUAUUUUGUUGGUUUUCGGAACUGAAGUAAUGAUUAAUAGGGAUAGUUGGGGGCCAUUAGUAUUUCUUCGUCAGAGGUGAAAUUCUUGGAUUGAAGAAAGACUAACUUCUGCGAAAGCAUCUGGCAAGGAUGUUUUCAUUAAUCAAGAACGAAAGUCAGGGGAUCGAAGACGAUUAGAUACCAU